AGGUGCAUGGCCGUCGUCAGUUUCGUACUGUGAAGCAUCCUGUUAAGUCAGGCAACGAGCGAGACCCACGCCAACAGUUGCCAGCUCGUCCUCCGGGAUGGUGGGGACACUGUUGGGACCGCCUCUGCUAAAGAGGAGGAAGGAAUGGGCAACGGUAGGUCAGCAUGCCCCGAAUUAUCUGGGCUACACGCGGGCUACAAUGGGUGGGACAAUGGGUAUCGACACCGAAAGGUGAAGGCAAUCUCCUAAACCCACCCGUAGUUCGGAUUGUGGGCUGCAACUCGCCCACAUGAAGCUGGAAUCUGUAGUAAUCGUGUCUCAAAAUGGCACGGUGAAUAUGUCCCUGCUCCUU
RNAcentral lists this ribosomal RNA (352 nucleotides) under uncultured Methanomicrobiales archaeon. RNAcentral's name for it is "bacterial SSU rRNA". It matches the Rfam family "Archaeal small subunit ribosomal RNA", at positions 988 to 1338 of the family's 1478-position model. Lineage: Archaea; Methanobacteriati; Methanobacteriota; Methanomicrobia; Methanomicrobiales. The record is from RNAcentral.